UAAAAUGCGAUUUUAGUCUUCGUAUUUCUUCUGCAGCAUAAGUUCUUUGUUUUCCUCCGGGAUACUCCAUUAUCUCCAAAUGCAUCCCAAACUUGUAAAGACCUGAAAAAGACUAGAAAAGACUCAAGAAAUAAUAAAUAGAUUCUAAAACCUAAAUCUAAAACAUAAUUAACACCACUAAAAAUAGGGAUAUAUCGAAUGCUUUUGCAGGUCCUUGAGUGAAUGUAGAAAGCUUGUUGCGC
This 242-nucleotide small RNA is filed under the name Arabidopsis thaliana (thale cress). Its description in RNAcentral is "ATSL158260". The record is from RNAcentral. Lineage: Eukaryota; Viridiplantae; Streptophyta; Magnoliopsida; Brassicales; Brassicaceae.